RNAcentral lists this ribosomal RNA (253 nucleotides) under uncultured bacterium. Its description in RNAcentral is "partial 16S ribosomal RNA". It matches the Rfam family "Bacterial small subunit ribosomal RNA", at positions 524 to 776 of the family's 1533-position model. The record is from RNAcentral.
UACGUAGGGGGCAAGCGUUGUCCGGAAUCAUUGGGCGUAAAGCGCGCGUAGGCGGCCCGGUAAGUCCGUUGUGAAAGUCAAAGGCUCAACCUUUGAAUGCCGAUGGAUACUGCCGGGCUAGAGUCCGGAAGAGGCGAGUGGAAUUCCUGGUGUAGCGGUGGAAUGCGCAGAUAUCAGGAGGAACACCGGUGGCGAAGGCGGAUCUCUGGGCCUUACCUGACGCUCAGGCACGAAAGCUAGGGGAGCGAACAGG